RNAcentral lists this ribosomal RNA (427 nucleotides) under uncultured Pseudomonas sp. RNAcentral's name for it is "bacterial SSU rRNA". It matches the Rfam family "Bacterial small subunit ribosomal RNA", at positions 355 to 774 of the family's 1533-position model. The record is from RNAcentral. Lineage: Bacteria; Pseudomonadati; Pseudomonadota; Gammaproteobacteria; Pseudomonadales; Pseudomonadaceae.
UGGGGAAUAUUGGACAAUGGGCGAAAGCCUGAUCCAGCCAUGCCGCGUGUGUGAAGAAGGUCUUCGGAUUGUAAAGCACUUUAAGUUGGGAGGAAGGGUUGUAGAUUAAUACUCUGCAAUUUUGACGUUACCGACAGAAUAAGCACCGGCUAACUCUGUGCCAGCAGCCGCGGUAAUACAGAGGGUGCAAGCGUUAAUCGGAAUUACUGGGCGUAAAGCGCGCGUAGGUGGUUUGUUAAGUUGAAUGUGAAAUCCCCGGGCUCAACCUGGGAACUGCAUCCAAAACUGGCAAGCUAGAGUAUGGUAGAGGGUGGUGGAAUUUCCUGUGUAGCGGUGAAAUGCGUAGAUAUAGGAAGGAACACCAGUGGCGAAGGCGACCACCUGGACUGAUACUGACACUGAGGUGCGAAAGCGUGGGGAGCAAACA